RNAcentral lists this ribosomal RNA (1052 nucleotides) under human gut metagenome. Its description in RNAcentral is "bacterial LSU rRNA". It matches the Rfam family "Bacterial large subunit ribosomal RNA", at positions 1432 to 2499 of the family's 2925-position model. The record is from RNAcentral.
GAUAUUCCUGUACUACGUAUCAUCAGAACUGUGGGGACGCAGGAGGAUAGGAAAACCGGGGAAUGGAAAAACCCGGCCAAGUACAAAGUCAAGGGAGAUAGGCAAAUCCGUCUCUUGAUGAUGAAGUGCGAUGGGGACUGAACAAAAGUAGGGAAGUUUCCGAAUCCACACUGUCGAGAAAAGCCGCUAUUGUGUGAUACGUACCCGUACCGUAAACCGACACAGGUAGAUGAGGAGAAAAUCCACAGGCCGACGGGAGAAGUGUUGUUAAGGAACUCGGCAAAAUGACCCCGUAACUUAGGGAGAAGGGGAGCCACGCAAGUGGCCGCAGAAAAGAGGCUCAAGCGACUGUUUAGCAAAAACACAGGUCUCUGCGAAACCGAAAGGUGAAGUAUAGGGGCUGACACCUGCCCGGUGCUGGAAGGUUAAAAGGAGAGGUUCGACGUAAGUCAAAGCUUUGAAUUCAAGCCCCAGUAAACGGCGGCCGUAACUAUAACGGUCCUAAGGUAGCGAAAUUCCUUGUCAGGUAAGUUCUGACCCGCACGAAAGGUGUAACGAUUUGAGCACUGUCUCGACAACACGCCCGGUGAAAUUGAAGAACCAGUGAAGAUACUGGUUACCCGCAACAGGACGGAAAGACCCCAUGGAGCUUUACUGCAGCCUGAUACUGGGAUUCGAUGAUAUAUGUACAGGAUAGGAGGGAGACUAGGAAUCCGGGACGCCAGUUUCGGAGGAGUCGACGGUGGGAUACCUCUCUUAUGUUAUUGGAAUUCUAACCUGCGACCAUGAAUCUGGUCGGGGGACACUGUCAGGUGGGCAGUUUGACUGGGGCGGUCGCCUCCAAAAGAGUAACGGAGGCGCUCAAAGGUUCGUUCAGCACGGAUGGAAAUCGUGCACUGAGUGUAAACGCAUAAACGAGCCUAACUGCGAGGGUGACGGCCCGAGCAGUAACGAAAGUUGGAGUUAGUGAUCCGGCGGUAUGUGAAUGGAAAUGCCGUCGCUCAACGGAUAAAAGCUACCCUGGGGAUAACAGGCUGAUCUCCCCCAAGAGU